UGCCUUUCAAUUCAUGGAAAGAGAGCGAAAUCUCUAAAAAACUGUGAAAACCAAAGGCAGUUUAGAGAGAGAAAGCUAGAGAGAGAGACUGCUGAGGGUUUUCUGCUUGUUCUGGUGAUUUAGACGCCCUGCAGCGCCUGAGCGACAGAAGGCGAAGAACCCUAAUUGGCGAGGGGGAUACGUAUAAUUUGAGAAGUUGCUCAUAGGAAUCGAGGGUGAGUUUUUUCAUUGAUGCUCUUCGGCGGUGGAGCUGAUGGUUGGAAAUGGAUCGUGUUCGCGGAGGCUAGCACCGGCGGCGGCGGCGGUGGUGGGGGGAGAAGCGGUUCGCUCAUCGGCGGCGGCGUCGGUGGCGGAAGCGGCUUCUGGUCUUGGACUGCUUCCUCCAAUGUCGGCUUAGCCGUCGCCGUCACGGCCAUGGCCGGUAUCGCCUUGGCCGCCACAGUCGUCUACUCUCGUAGGGGCAGUCUUAAAUCACCUUGGUCCCGUAGGAGAAAAAAACACGCCCUUCUACCAAAACAAUGGAAAAGUUUAUUUACACCGGAUGGGAAACUCACUGAUGGUGGUCUCAAAUUUUUGAAGAAAGUUCGCAGUGGAGGUGUUGAUCCAAGUAUUCGAGCUGAAGUGUGGCCAUUUCUUCUUGGAAUCUAUGAUGUGAACAGUUCCAAGGAAGAAAGAGAGACUGUAAAAAACCAGAAAAGAAAAGAAUAUGAAAACUUGCGGAGACAGUGUCGCAGAAUUUUAACACAAAGUGAUAAGAGCUCGAAGUUGAAGGAAACUUCUGGUAACAGUAGCACUGAGAGCAGCGGGGAUUUCAGUCAAGUUUUAGAUUGCUUCUGACCAAGGGGAUGUUACAAGUGCCAGGAGGUACAUUUCAACUGAGGGAGGAGACCAAUUACCCAAGGAUUCAGAUAACCCUGUAGGCAAUCAAGCUGUUCAGACUUCUGAAUCACUUGAAGGAGAUGGAGAGAAAAGUGGAGUCACCUGUGAUGAUCCUUAUGCUGCCGAUACGGAAUCAACUGAUUCUGAUUCCUCUGAAGAAACUGAUAUCACUCGACCAUUACUAUCCACUGAUGUUACUGAAGAAAACUAUGUUGAUGACAAGCCUAAGGAGAGCUCCUGUCUCUCCAAUAUUGAAAACAAGCCCAAAGUCCACUCAGCAGAAGAUUUUGCCACAUGGCAGAGGAUCAUCCGCCUUGAUGCCGUUCGCGCAAAUGAUGAAUGGAUUAUUUACUCACCAUCACAGGCUGAUGCAUCAGAGAUGAAGGCACAAAGACUAGCUGAAAGUGUCGGGUUAAAGGAUUAUGAUCACUUGGAGCCAUGCAGGAUUUUUCAUGCCUCUCGCCUGGUUGGAAUCCUGGAAGCCUAUGCUCUGUAUGAUCCUGAGAUUGGGUACUGCCAGGGGAUGAGUGAUCUACUCUCUCCUAUUAUCUCAGUGCUGGAAGAGGACCAUGAAGCCUUCGGGUGCUUUGUGGGUUUUAUGAAAAAGGCACGGCAUAAUUUCCGACUGGAUGAGGCAGGAAUCCGGAGGCAACUUGGCCUUGUUUCGAAGAUUAUCAAGUGCAAAGAUGUUCCUCUUUACAGACACCUGGAGAAGCUUCAAGCGGAGGAUUGCUUUUUUGUGUACAGAAUGGUGGUGGUUCUCUUCAGGAGAGAGUUGAGCUUUGAGGAUACGCUUUGCCUCUGGGAGGUAAUGUGGGCAGAUCAGGCUGCAAUCAGGGCAGGUAUUGCCAAGUCUGCUUGGGGAAGGAUUAGGCAGAGAGCCCCUCCUACCGAUGAUCUCUUGCUCUAUGCAAUAGCGGCUUCUGUGCUACAAAGAAGGAAGACUAUCAUAGAGAAGUACAGCAGCAUGGAAGAGAUCAUGAGGGAGUGCAACAGCAUGACGGGCCGUCUGGAUGUGUGGAAGCUUUUAGAUGAUGCCCAUGACUUGGUGGUGACCCUUCAUGACAAGAUUUAGAAACACCCAAUGCUAAUGCUAGGCUUUGAUCUUUUGCUCUCUCGCCCACCCUCCGAUUCUUGUUUUCCUUUUUUUUUCCUUUUUCCUUUUUUUUUGUGUUGUUGUUGCACCUGGUGGGGAUCCCUUUGAAAGCAAGGGAUCUUUGGGAUGAGUUUCGCACUUGCUUGAAACAAGCAUCUGAUAGGCAAAUUCUGUAUUGGAGUAAAUUAUGGGAUUUAUAUAUAUAUAUAAAAUGUAUUGCUCGCACUCUGUUGCCCUUCAGAGUGACUGGCAGCAAUUCAGAAAUUAGUAAAUUCAGAUCGACAACCUUACUUUGAUUUA
Molecule: non-coding RNA, 2275 nt
Organism: Malus domestica (apple)
Lineage: Eukaryota; Viridiplantae; Streptophyta; Magnoliopsida; Rosales; Rosaceae
Source: RefSeq, a predicted model, not a curated record